Molecule: ribosomal RNA, 207 nt
Filed under: uncultured bacterium
Lineage: Bacteria
Description: partial 16S ribosomal RNA
Rfam family: Bacterial small subunit ribosomal RNA
Source: RNAcentral
CGCGUAGGCGGGAACGUAAGUCAGAUGUGAAAGCCCGGGGCUCAACCCCGGAACAGCAUUUGGUACUGCGUUUCUAGAGGGUAGGCGGAGAAAAUGGAAUUCCACAAGUAGCGGUGAAAUGCGUAGAUAUGUGGAAGAACACCGGUGGCGAAGGCGAUUUUCUAGCUUAUACCUGACGCUGAGGCGCGAAAGCAAGGGGAUCAAACA